Molecule: small RNA, 128 nt
Filed under: Limnothrix sp. P13C2
Lineage: Bacteria; Bacillati; Cyanobacteriota; Cyanophyceae; Pseudanabaenales; Pseudanabaenaceae
Also listed under: 1 other name
Description: c-di-AMP riboswitch aptamer (ydaO/yuaA leader)
Rfam family: c-di-AMP riboswitch aptamer (ydaO/yuaA leader)
About the family: This family represents a conserved RNA structure found upstream of the ydaO and yuaA genes in Bacillus subtilis and related genes in other bacteria. The ydaO/yuaA element is thought to act as a genetic "off" switch for the ydaO and yuaA genes in its native state.
Source: Rfam by way of RNAcentral
GACUUGCGAUUGCAACAUCGAUGGUUGGAGCGGAGGACCCGUGUUUUGGGGCUUACUUUCUGCGUGAAAGGGGACACCUCUCAGUCCUAGCCCGUCAGCUAACUUCGUCGGCAACGAGGGGAGAUUCU